ACGAACGCUGGCGGCGUGCUUAACACAUGCAAGUCGAACGGAAAGGCCCUGCUUUUGUGGGGUGCUCGCGUGGCGAACGGGUGAGUAACACGUGAGUAACCUGCCCUUGACUUUGGGUUAACUUCAGGAAACUGGGGCUAAUACCGGAUAGGAGCUCCUGCUGCAUGGUGGGGGUUGGAAAGUUUCGGCGGUUGGGGAUGGACUCGCGGCUUAUCAGCUUGUUGGUGGGGUAGUGGCUUACCAAGGCUUUGACGGGUAGCCGGCCUGAGAGGGUGACCGGCCACAUUGGGACUGAGAUACGGCCCAGACUCCUACGGGAGGCAGCAGUGGGGAAUAUUGCACAAUGGGCGGAAGCCUGAUGCAGCAACGCCGCGUGCGGGAUGACGGCCUUCGGGUUGUAAACCGCUUUCGCCUGUGACGAAGCGUGAGUGACGGUAAUGGGUAAAGAAGCACCGGCUAACUACGUG
RNAcentral lists this ribosomal RNA (467 nucleotides) under uncultured bacterium. RNAcentral's name for it is "partial 16S ribosomal RNA". It matches the Rfam family "Bacterial small subunit ribosomal RNA", at positions 29 to 507 of the family's 1533-position model. The record is from RNAcentral.